UCCUCGGCCGGAGCGGAGAGGUACCUCCGGCCGCUCAGCGCGGCCCGCCGUCGCUCCCGCCUUGCGCAUGCGCGCCUGGCGCGGGUGGCCAUGCGUCUCCAGCGCGGCCAACUGAGCCCACCCCCGGGAAACAGCCGCUCUGCUGUGGGCUUCCGCCUACCCGCUCUCCGUCCGACCGGCCUGACGCCUCCCUGACGCCUGUUUGCUGCAAGAGUCAGCCAGGGCUUGGAGCUCUCACGUAGAGGCCGGUGCCUGGGCCGGAGAAACUCCGGGGUUGUUUACGUUUGGCUCGUGUCUGCCCGCCGCCCACCCCCGGAUGUGUGACGUCUAGGCACGGAUGUGACGUCACCGCGCAGAGUUCUAAGGACCCAGGCGUCACUCCGGAUCAGGAGCUGGGAGCGCCAGGCUCAGUGCCCUCUGGUGCCCACUCCGGAGACAGCCGUGUGUAGGGAUGUAUGCAUGGGGUCAAGGGCUCCGCGCAUGUGUAUUUGGCCCGGGUUCGCUUCAUAGUCAUGCAUUUACCCAUGCAUUUAUUCAUUUAACAACUUUGUAUCUAACAUCUCUUCUGCUGAGCGUCUCGUAGGUCAAGCACUCCCCAAGGACAGUGGUCCUGUCUCCACACGUAAGCCCAGUUUCAUCUGUGCAUUUAUUCAGGAUUCAGAGGGGUCCUUACAAAGAUGUCACCCCCCACAGCACACACACUUUCUCUGGAGGACUCUGCAUCCCCAUUACAGGAAUCUGUGGGUUCUGACCUACAAAAGCUCCAAGAUAUAGAGGACUUGCCCCUUAUGGUCACAAGAGGGAGCUGUGGACCGCACCGUCUGCCUGCCUCUCCUACCUUGGAAGAAUAGGCUCCUCCUCAAGAUGCUGCUUCCCACUCCCACCCCCCACCCCCAAGGCAGGAGAGAUGGAACUAGAAAUGCCGGCUGGCCAUCCUUUAUCUGCAAGCCUGAAAUCCAAGAAAAAUCUGCAAACGAAAUCUUUCCUCAUCUGGCACCAAUACUUAAUCUGAACUGAGGCCAGGACUAGGGUGAAGGAAGUGAGGCACUGGCCCCAGGCACAAAACUUAAGUGGGUGCCCAAAAACUCAGUAAUCAAGAGGAAUACUAUUUUAAUGCAGUAUUUUAAAAAAUAAACAUUCAUGCAAAAAGAUCCACGACGAACAAAAUAUCACAAUUACCCACAGGAUCUGACCCCGCACUUACACGACACAGCUCACCUAGUCCCAGCUCUGCCGUGCAGCACAGUGGUGAGUAGCUGAUGAGCUGCUUGAGGGCAGGGAUCCUGUCUGCCUUGGUCCCUACUGUGUCCCCAGAGCCUAACGCAGUGUCAGGCACAUACUCGGUGCUCAGUAUAAUCUGUGAGCUGACGUAAAUGGGCAGGCAGGCAGUUGGUUCUUCCCUUUGCUAGUUUGUUCCCUCACUUUCUUGCUUGCUCCCUCACUCACUGUGUACUCUGGGUCUCCUGCAUAUCAGGCACUGUGCUGGCAGGGAGAGGGGACACAAAGAGUAAUAGACCUUGUAUAUCUCCACAACGCCCUCUUACUCUGGUGGACUGCACAUAGAGAAGAAAUACUUGAACUGAUGUGCAGCAAUCCUCUCAGGAAGGGCUGCCAGGUUCAGUUGUGCAGGCUGUAUACUGCCCAAAUCCAGGGGUAUCAUUCACAUUGAUGACAAUGUGCAUGGCUCUGCCUGCAGUUGUGCAGUACAGUGGCCAGCCUACAGGGGUCCAAAGAAGAGGGAGGCUGAAUUCAGCCUGGUGGGGGGGGUGUGUGACAGCAAACGUUGAUGACACAGCAGGAAAAGAGCCAGACAGCUUGGGAAGCAAAAGGCCAUGAAAUAAAGGGGCCCCUGAAGCCUUUGCUAUUUGGAUUCUGCCCUGGGGACGGUCCAUAAAACACACAGUAUCUAAUCGUAUUUACAGCAGGCCCAUGGAAUGUUAGGCUCUUUUUCCAGAAUAAAAUGGACUUCAGAAACCUGGAGGAAAUCUGGACCAUGGGCAGAGGCCAGCUAUCAGAGGCAAAGGACAUGAGUAAUGAAUAAUUUAUUUUUUGAUAACUGGAGAAAGAUCACCUUCAUAUACAUGAUCUCACUUGAGCCUCACCAUCACCCUAGUUGUAGAAGAGAAACUGCGAUUUGGAGCAGCUGAGUGACUUGCUCAAGGUCACAGGCCGCCAAAGGGCAAAGGCAGGGCUGGA
Long non-coding RNA from Diceros bicornis minor, 2196 nucleotides. RefSeq lists it as uncharacterized. The record is from RefSeq and is a predicted model, not a curated record. The transcript has 4 exons. NCBI's taxonomy places the organism in Eukaryota, Metazoa, Chordata, Mammalia, Perissodactyla, Rhinocerotidae.